This 468-nucleotide ribosomal RNA is filed under the name uncultured bacterium. RNAcentral describes it as "partial 16S ribosomal RNA". It matches the Rfam family "Bacterial small subunit ribosomal RNA", at positions 28 to 507 of the family's 1533-position model. The record is from RNAcentral.
GACGAACGCUGGCGGCGUGCUUAACACAUGCCAGUCGAACGGAAAGGCCCUGCUUUUGUGGGGUGCUCGAGUGGCGAACGGGUGAGUAACACGUGAGUAACCUGCCCUUGACUUUGGGAUAACUUCAGGAAACUGGGGCUAAUACCGGAUAGGAGCUCCUGCUGCAUGGUGGGGGUUGGAAAGUUUCGGCGGUUGGGGAUGGACUCGCGGCUUAUCAGCUUGUUGGUGGGGUAGUGGCUUACCAAGGUUUUGACGGGUAGCCGGCCUGGGAGGGUGACCGGCCACAAUGGGACUGAGAGACGGCCCAGACUCCUACGGGAGGCAGCAGGGGGGAAUAUUGCACAAUGGGCGGAAGCCUGAUGCAGCAACGCCGCGUGCGGGAUGACGGCCUUCGGGUUGUAAACCGCUUUCGCCUGUGACGAAGCGUGAGUGACGGUAAUGGGUAAAGAAGCACCGGCUAACUACGUG